This is a long non-coding RNA of Peromyscus californicus insignis, 6066 nucleotides long. RefSeq lists it as uncharacterized. The record is from RefSeq and is a predicted model, not a curated record. The transcript is spliced from 3 exons. Lineage: Eukaryota; Metazoa; Chordata; Mammalia; Rodentia; Cricetidae.
GUGGAGCCCCAGGUGAAGUGCUUGGCACAUUAGGAGGCUGUGGGAGCCGUUGGUCCUGACCUGACGAUUCUGCUGUUUCAUCAGUUAAUGCAAAAACUCUGGGUCCAGGCAUUUUGUCAUAGCCCUGACGGCUGUGAAGCGCCUCCCAAGUUGUAUGAGGGUGAUUUUCCAUGAUGGAAACCAUUAUGAACCAUGGCUUCUCCGUAGCAGGCUUUAUGGGCCCCUGGCGACUCUACUCAGGAUAAUAAAUAAGGCCACGAAACGCCAUUUCCAAAGGCCGGGACAGGCUGUGCUAACUUAUCUGUUUGAAUGGAAAUCUUAAGCCUUGUUAAGUCAAACUGUCAUUGCUCAUUACCCAUAAAUUAAGAGGCCGGGGGGACCAUUGCACACAGGUAUUUAUCAGAAAACACUCGUGAAUCGUCUGUAUCCCAGAGACACGUAAGCCUGGAGGAGCAGAACGUGCUUAUUAAAUCACAUCUUUGAGUCCAGUUGCACAGAAGAUGGGAAAACUAGCCCCCACUUCUGCCAGGCUUCCUAGCCCCAGAAGAAACAGCCUAUGACAAGUAGGUCCUGAGUCCCGGCUCCCUCCAGGACCAGGUGGAGCCUGGACUUCUGUCCUCUGUUGGGCAUUUCCAACUCCUAGUGCCCAUGUCUACCUACAAAGUGUGACUGCCUGGGUUUGGGCCUAGAAUGUCCUUCACUCUCAUUGAUGGGGUCUACCCUACUGCCUUUACCCAUAGCAGAGAUGCCUCAUGAACACCAGUUUUGGAAGGAUGCUGUUUGGCAGAGGAAUCUCCCAGAUGCCAAUAAACCUUCACCUAACUCAUUCACCAACAGACGGGCUGCUCUUGGUGAUUACCUUGGCCUCUGAGGCCUGUGGAGACUCAGACACCUCCCAUUCUACAGGACAGGACAUGGUUGCCUCCUAUACACAUUUCCCUAUACCAUCUUGGUGCUAAUCCCACCCAGAAGUGAGAACAUCAUCAGCUCAGCUGCCUGACCCUAGGCCCAGGUCUACAAGGGCAAAAAGAGGGUACCAUGAACCAAGCUACAUCUGAUGAGGGGCUGUGGGACAGACCACUUGGAUUCUGAACCCAAGUCUUGUACUUGGAGAUGCAUGCCUGUGAAGUAAUCGCCACACCUUCUAGGGUCUGACUUUUCUCUCUGGUCAGGUGGGGUGGACACCAAAACCAAGGUCAAGAGGUAGCAUCAGUGAGGCAACUUUAGUGAACAGCUAGCACUGUCUUUCCCCAAGAUCAGCCAACAUGGAGAGACUUCAUCCACAGACCACCUUUGAACCUUGACUAAAACCUCUUACUUUCUCGGUUUGGGUUCCUAGAUAUUCAUCUUACCUGGGGAAGACAGCUUAUGGGAAGUUGCCGUGCUUCACACACAUUUGCUCCUGGCUUGACCCUGCAAUAGUGUCAACAUUUAAUUAAAUGGAAGUUGUUGACUGUUUAAGCAUCAUGAGCAUCCCUUGAAUUAAUUUAUCAUGGAAGAAAGAAGAGUGUAAGGGUGAAGAACCUGCUGGAUCUGCAGAGUAUGGUAUUUUAGCUGGGUAUAGAAUGGCAGCCCUACUGAUUUUCUUGCAGAGCUGGGAAGACGGUGCCUUCCUCUCACAGCUACUCCAUGGCCACUCAUCCUGGUAUGUUAUAAUAUCCCAGGUAUUCCCAUAUGCCCCAGAACCUGUGCACUAUUCAUCUGAAUGUUCCCAUUCAGUAGCAUCACUGGGUUGCCUCUUUGGUACUAGAAGUUACAAUUGGACUAAUGGAUUUUCACCUGAUAUCUCUGAUUUUUUUCUUUCUCCAGUAGUUGCCAUUCUUGAAAGUCCCACAGGGAAGUUGUCAAUUGGCACAGUGGCAUAUGUGAGUGAUUAACUGCUAUGUGGACCAGAGUGCUCAGGGCCCUUGGUGUUCUGAACCGUGAUUGCCAGGUCCUGAAAUGUCUGCAAGGGGUCAUCACUUUAUCAUUCCACCCCUUAGUUAGGUCCUGCAUACUGAGAUUCGUAUCCUCUACAGAAGUUCCAGUGAGAAUCACAGGGUUCUUCCCUUUUCCUUUAUUCCUGGCCCCUCAGUUUCCUUGCUAAUACAAUGCCUCCUACCCUCUGAUCCCCCACGCAUUUCUAGGGCCCUCUUUGAAAGGCUCAGGUCUUGCUGGAAUCAGUUUGCCUGCCCUGGUGCUCAGCCCCUGACUGUCUCUUUUAUUUCCAGAUGAGAGAAACUCAGGAAGAUGCCAAGCCAGGUUGCUCAGGAUCCACUGUCCCUGCAGCAGGGAGAACAGCCCAGUGAUGAGUGGCACAGCCAAUACCUAUUACUACUGGAUUGAGAAGGCUUUAUGUUCUGGAGACUAUCCACUUUCUUCCAGGAACCUGGGAUACACAAGACCCCAUUUCCUGACUGCCACAGGCCGAGGGACCCCAGUGGUCAUCAUAUGUUCAGGCUGUGGCAGCUGUCUGCCCAAACUCAGGCCACUGGCCACCUCAGGAGUGUCCAUCUGCCCCUGUGGACGUCCUUCCCCUGUGCUGAGACGCUUUGUGCCAGCAGGGCCAGAGAAGGACCAGCUCAGCCCAUACUCUGGAAAUGACACAUCGGGGCCGGGAGAAGCAGCUGCUGGUGACUUUGCACAAAUAAUGAACAGCCAGGGACAGAUGUGUGACACAAGCCAACUCUGCUUGCCCACCAGCCACCUGUGCUGUGAUUAGUGGGAGCCCAGGUGUGUGGCUUGGGCCUGAUGCCUGGCUCUUUGGAAUGUCCAUGGCCUGGGAGGGGUGGUCUCAGCCUGGGGCAGCCAUUGUUCUUGAAGCUAUUGCCCAGGAAGCCAAAUGGCUUUCUCCCAGAUCCUUGAAGGAGCAGCUGCCUGCAUUAUCUCUUCUUCACGGGGACUCCAUAACUGACUUCAGAUAAGCGUGGGACAAACCUCACUCCAUCAGUUUAGGCUUCUAUAGCAGAAUGCCUCAGACAGGUGACCUAGUGGCUUAACAUUAACUCUGGGGACUGGAAGUUCAAGGCCACAGUGCUGGCAGGGCUGGUUUCUGGCUUGCAGAUGUCUGAGUCCUUCUUGCUGUGUCCUCACAGGUAGUGUGUUAUGAAGCGGGGAGAGGGGAGGGUGUUCUUUGGGUCCCUCAUAAGACCACUAAUCCUUCCAGAUCAGAACUCAUACUUGUGGUCUAGCUUGAAUUCAAUUGCUUUCUUAAGGUCCUAUCUCUAAAUACGGGGGUCAGGAGUGUAAAUGGAGGUGGAGUUUUUCUGUCCCAACUACUCAGUCCCAAAUAAACACACAAAAGCUUAUAUAAUUACAGAAUGCUUGGCUGAUAGCUCAGACUUCUUACUAACUAGCUCUUACAUUUAAAUUAAUCCAUUUCUAUUAAUCUAUGUAUUGCUACGUGGCCUGUGGCUUUACCAGUCCUCUAGCAUCUUGCUUCUUGGGUGGCUCCCUGGCAUCUCUCUCUACUCUGCCCUUUUUCAUACGAAUCCACAGUUUGAUUGUUCCACCUAACCUUAUCCUGCCUUGCCAUAGACCAAAAAGCUUUAUUGUCAGCCAAUGAGAGUGAUACAUAUUCACAGCGUACAGAAGGAUCAUCCCAUAGCAAAGGGGCUUCAGCAUGCAUUUAUAGUGUGUCUCUAACAGUAAUGUGAAAAGAGCUGUCCUAGGAUCCUGGCUGAUGCACAGUCCACUUUGUUGGCAACUGAUAUGAAGACCCUGGGAUGGGAUGAGGCAAACAACAUAUCCCAUGGCAUUCUCUACUGUAUCGCUCUUAUAAGGCUCCUGUCUGCUCUGCUGGAUGUAGUUCAUCAUAGAACCCCUCUUGGUAUAUCAAGACUUCUAGGAAAUGGCCAUCAAUCCAGCUAGGAUACCCGCCUUCAUGUCUUCCAAACUAUCCCAGGCCCUCCAGACACACGGUCCUUGUAGUAACCCUGGGGCUCAGCCUUUACUGUGUGAGCUCUAUCCCGUGUCUUUGCCACCCAUUGCCUACGUUUUUACAGAAACAUCACUGCCUCCAGAGUCAGUUCUCUGGUCCUAGACAAAUGGGUAACUGUAGGAUUGCCUGUUCAAAAUCAAGAUGUCAAGGAACGGGGAGCAGAGCAUUGCCAGUUGUACCCUUCCUCUGCCGAGUCAUGGGCACAUACUGUCUCAAGGCAGUGAAACCCACUGAUCACCCAGCUGAAGGACUGUGUCUCAGCACACUCCACCCAAGCUCAUAUGUCUUUGCAGAGCUGUUUACUUGCCAGCUGUCACCCCUCACUGGGAGAAAUUGGGGAGAAAUUGUAGUGCACAUUUUCUGUGGAAUUGUACCUCUAGUUUAAGCAAAUCCGAAGUCCUCUUGCUUCAAUUUUUUUUUAAUAGUGAAGUGGAAAAGAAAGCUUAGGAAAAGGGAGGAAGCUUAGAAGUUGGAAAGGUUGUGGUAUGGGACCAGGGAUGGAGCUGAGUUGGGUGAGGGAUGUAGUCCCCUCUUUCCUGGGAUGGAAAGGUCCCUAUAGCUGUGUCUUGUGAAGGUGACAGAGAAGGACUCUAACAGAGUUGGCCAAUCCUAAGGCUCAACCACCAGCUCUUUGCACCUGCUGGGCCGUGGGGCCAAUCAGAGUGCGGCAGUGCUCCAGGAAGGGGCACAAAUGGAAAUGUGGUGGUUCUCCGUGUGCACAUCCUAGAUGUCCAAAGGAAAUGAACUCAAGCCCAUACUUGAAGCAGUGACCUCUGCAUGGGUGAGCAGUUAGUCCAUGCUAGACCCUUCCUGUAUGGGGAGAGGUAUGUCAGACAUGGAGGUCACAGAACAGGCAUGUAACAGAGGCGUAACCCUAUUCUUUGUCUGGCCUUUUGUGACCUUGACCCCAAAGGUUUUUGUGAUUUGUUUGUUUGUUUCUUUCUUUUUCAUGAAAGAUUCUAAGUGUCCUCCAGUCUCUGAUGUUGGAGUUGAAGUUGGGUAUGGAAUCCUGCAUAACUGAGUCUUCCAACAGUGCCCACGGGUGCUAGUGUCCAGCCUGACUACCUGUGUUUAUCACUCCCUCACUGCUGUGAUGAGGAGAAAUAGGUUGAAGAGUUUAUUUCAGCUCUUGGUUUCAGGGGUCUUAGGAGGCAGACACGAAAUGCCCAUUCUAGGCUGGCUUUCUCUUUCUUCUUUACUUUGCUCGGGUGAUGGUUGCUCAGCCCUGUAUUGGUGCUGCCUGUGUUCAGGGUAGGUCACCCCCCUUUGCCUAACCCUUUCUGGAAAAGCCCUCACCAUCUCCUAGGUGAUCCUAAGUCCCAUCGCGUUGAGCAUGACUGACCUUCUCAAAGACUUAGCUUUUACUUGGACCACAAGCCUUGUUUAUGGGUCUCUUGAGUGAAGCACCUAUAGUAAGAAUUGCCUCAGGAAGGAGGUUAGCAAGGUGAACGGGUCAUAGAAGAUUCUGGUAAUAAGAGUACUAACUCCAUUAUGGACCUCUUCCUCAGAGGCUUCUCAUAGCCUUCCUGUCUGCCAGGCCUGACCACCAAUCCUGGGUGGGAUUCCAAGGAAGAAGGGUGAUUUUCUUCUGUGUAGACUGUGACAUUCUUGUUCUGAUGAACACUGUGACCACCUCCUCACUGCCAGCUCUUCACUAGAACACUACCCUGCAGGCUCCAGGACUCAAGACAGAGACUUAGGCCUGCCAGCCUCAGAGCCCUGAGUCAGGCCAGUGUCUGUAGAUGAGAGGUGAUUGGGGGUCAUGGUCUCUAUAGAAUUGCUGACUUCCUGCCAGGCAAGCCUCACUCCUGACACUGAGUUCUCGUCCCACCCAAGCUGUCCCAUGGACAACCACUUCGAUAGAUCUAAUACAUGCGCUAUCAGUUUCUGACAGAGCAAAGAAUGAGACUUUCAUCCCUCAGGAAGGGGAAUGACGCUGUUUUGAAGAUGUUCUAACACCCUCAGUGACUACUUGCUGUUGGAGGCUGAUGAUAGAACACCCAGGAGAGGCAGUAUGUGGCCAGCCUCCAUGCAGAAUGUCUCUGAAUGGCACGAUACCUGCUCUUAGGGCUACCCACUGUGCCAGGCCCAGCUUUAGGGUGCAGCCAUUCCACUCAGUGAGGCCUGUGUGUUGGGAGCGGCACACU